AACGAACGCUGGCGGCAUGCCUAACACAUGCAAGUCGAACGGGAUCCUGGUUUCGGCCAGGUGAGAGUGGCGGACGGGUGAGUAACGCGUGGGAACCUGCCCAGUGGUGGGGGAUAACUGCGGGAAACUGCAGCUAAUACCGCAUGAGCCCGCAAGGGGAAAGAUUGAUCGCCAUUGGAGGGGCCCGCGUUCGAUUAGGUAGUUGGUGAGGUAACGGCUCACCAAGCCUACGAUCGAUAGCUGGUCUGAGAGGAUGAUCAGCCACACUGGGACUGAGAUACGGCCCAGACUCCUACGGGAGGCAGCAGUGGGGAAUAUUGGACAAUGGGGCAACCCUGAUCCAGCAAUGCCGCGUGUGUGAAGAAGGCCUGCGGGUUGUAAAGCACUUUCAGUAGGGAAGAAAAGCCGAGUGCUAAUAUCACUCGGUCUUG
RNAcentral lists this ribosomal RNA (431 nucleotides) under uncultured bacterium. RNAcentral's name for it is "bacterial SSU rRNA". It matches the Rfam family "Bacterial small subunit ribosomal RNA", at positions 29 to 472 of the family's 1533-position model. The record is from RNAcentral.